This 570-nucleotide ribosomal RNA is filed under the name Triticum aestivum (bread wheat). RNAcentral describes it as "partial small subunit ribosomal RNA". The record is from RNAcentral. Lineage: Eukaryota; Viridiplantae; Streptophyta; Magnoliopsida; Poales; Poaceae.
AUGGCAGCAGCUUAUAGCUUUAUUAUUAAUAAGUUUAAAUCCAAACUUAACAUUUGCAAGGCUAGUAGGCUCUCUCAUGUAGGAAGGCUUACUCUUAUCAAAUCGGUCUUUGCUUCCUUGCCGGUUUACUAUAUGUCCAAUAUCCUCUUAAGCAAGUCCAUCAUAAAAAAACUCACUUCCACUGUUAGAAAAUUUUCGUGGAUGGGAAUUCAGAAGGAUGACAAGGCAAAGCCUAUUUUCUUUAGAGCUUGGGAUGAUAUUUGUAGACCUAUGCAUAAAGGAGGAUUGAGCAUUAGGAAUUUAGCCAUUAUUAACGAAUCCUUGAUUACUAAUAUGGCUUGGAAUAUCAUUAAUAAUUCCGCCCCUUUAAUUGCUAAGGUUCAUAAAUCAAAAUAUUUUCGUAACUCUACCAUAUGGAAACAUAAUAUUUAUUCCCCCAAAUCUGCAUUCUGGACCUCCUUUAUUAAAGUUCUUCCUGAUAUUAUUAAUUUUUGUAACAUAAAAAUUGCUAAAGGAAACACUUGCAUCUGGGACAAUCCUUGGUGCAAAAGAUGGGGAAAAAAAUUAUGA